AUCUAGAAAGUGGGGGACCAGGAAGCACUCUGUUCUGCAGAAUAAAAGGCACCUAGACUUUAGCCCACAUGCCUUUAAUUAAGGAAGGUAUGUAAGUUAAUGAGCAAAAUCAAGCAUAGGCAAUGACAAAGCUACCUCUUGUGAAUGAGAAAACAAACUAUUAGCACUGGUGCAUACCUCUAGGGCAUAGCGCAGCUGCUCAUAGAAUAGCAUGAUUUAUGCAUAACUCCCUUAUGUUGUCUUUGAAGGAGACCGGAUACUUUAGAACUCUGCAUUAGCAGAGUUCAGCAGUUCCAGGGUCUCCAACAAUGCAGACAAAUUAAGAUUAUGUAUAUUAUAUAGUCAUAUAAAGUUCUGCAAACCCUUCAAAUUUGAAGGCAACUCAACGUCAAGACAGUGAUGCGGACUAAAUACACUUAUUUGGAUUUAUGCUUUUAUUUGGUGAAAUUAAAAUAACGAUGCCCAUUUUAAAAUUUAUUUAGAAAAAAUCAUAAAUGAGGUAUAAUUUCAGAUGAGUUUUAAAGAAAAAAAUUGUAUUUAACAUAUGCAUCUAAAAUAGUGUGAUGAUACUUAUGACAAAAAAUGUUGCAAGCUUAAAAACAGUAAGAGGAGAUUUCAAAUUGUGAGUGUUUACAGGAUGUAUGUGUUUAGGUUAAAGGCAAAAGGGUAGAUUUUGAUCAUGACUUUGGAAAAUUGCCUGAAUUAUCUAAGCCUUAGUUUCAAGAUACAGGAAGUUUUCAGUUAGCUAUUGCUAUGUAAUAAACCACCCACAAUUCAGUGGCUUAAAUAGUAAACAGACACUAUUGCUUAUGCAUCUGUUGGUGAGCUGGAUCUUCUCUCUUAGCACACACUCAUGUAUCUGCCUUUGGUUAGUCAGGUGGCCAAGGGGUGGCGGGUCUAGGGUGUCCCCAAUUGGGAAAGUGGGAACCAUUAGGUUUCUGCAUGUGAGCUUUGUUCUCCAGCAGGCUAGCCUAAAUUUGUUCUCAUGGUGGUAGCGGCAGAGUUCUAGGGGAAUAAGUGGAACAGCUCGUGUUCUUUUAAGACCUGGGCUUGAAACUGGCACACUGCCACUUCGAUGGCAUUUGAUUAGCUAAAGAGAAUUAAAUUCAAGAGAUGGGGAAAUAGAGUCCACCUAUUGAUGGGAGGAGCUGCAAAGUCACAUUUCAAAGAACAUGAAUAAAAACAGGGAUGAAAAUGUUGGUCAUUUUCAGGAUUAACCUACCAUAUUAAUAUAUUAUUAAAGAAAAAAAGGGUGAUAAAGAGACGAAAAACACAUUGAUUAGUAUUUCUCAAACUUUAAUGUGAGAAAGAACUGUCUUGGAUAUUCAUUAAAAUGCAAAUCCCUGGGCUCAAUUCUCUGAUAUUAUUAUUCUGGGUCUAGGAUGUGGUCCAGAAAUCUUUAAUUAGGUAAAAUUAUAUCACUCCUCAAUAUUGAUGGAGAUGAUCUAAUGACUAUGCUUUGAGAAAUAAAUUAAAUGAUGGAGGGAGAUUUUUAAAACUGGAAUAAUGUAUAUUGAGUCACUACAGGAGAAAAUGAUGAAGCAGGUGAAAACUGCUAAAAGAUUAUUCCUUUCAUUUGUUACUGUAUUAGCUUUUAGUGUUCAAAGAGCUUCUAUAUACAUUAUCUAAGACCCAGUAAGCUUGGGAAUUAAGAGAAAUGAAAUGUGUUUCAUUACAGCUAUAAAAUAGAAUUUAUGGGACUUAAAACACCAGUCUCCUACCAUAUAAUGUAGUUUUCUAAUCACAGCUUUAACCUUGUGAUUCAGAUGAGGACAUUAAAUGGUGAAACUGAAAAAAGAACUUCCUGCAUUUAUUCAAAGUUUGACUCAAUAUAUGAGAAUUAGGCAUGGGAAAGAUUAUACUUACUGAAAAUUAAUUUGGAAAAAUUGAUUAAUUUGGAGGGAAGGAAUAUUUAUCUUAUUUCUAAUAUUUAUUUAUUUAUUUAUUUUUGCCUCCUGUGGCAUGUGGAAGUUCCUGGGCCAAGGGUCAAAUCAGAGCUGCAGCAAUCCCAGAUCCUUAACCUGUUGAGCCACCAGGGAACUCCUGGGAAGGAAUAUUUCUAAAUCAAAAAUAAAGGAAAAAGUUGUAAAUUGUCAGCAAUGACUCAAAUUCUUCUCUGGGAGAUAAUGGUACAGGCAAACUAUAACACUUAAAUAUAUGAUUAUUAGUGAACUUAUUCAGCAUUUGCCAAGUUUUAAUGGCAUUUAACUCUAAGUACCACAGACAAAACAAUUGGAUCAAGUAUUUUCAUCCUGCAGAACUAAAAUUGAGAAUUGUAUUAUAAGACAUUCAGGCAAAUUUCACAUGCCUUCCUUGUGAAGAGGUCACUAAAACUAAACUGCUAGCCUCUAUGAAUCCGGAGAAAAAGCUAGCAAACAUUAAAGAAGAUAAUACAUACAAAUCAAAGGAUAUUUGAACAAGAAAAAAAUAUAGUGAAAUUGAUCUUCCUAUGGCUACAGAGACAGUAUUGGGCAUUUGAAAAGUGAUUCACAUUCUUUUUUUUUGUCUUUUUAGGGCCGCACUCAUGGCAUACAGAGGUUCCCAGGUGAGGAGUCAAAUCAGAGCUACAGCUGCAGGCCUACACCACAGCCACAGCAACGUGGGAUGUGAGCCCCAUCUGUGGCCUACACCACAGUUCAUGGCAACACUGGAUCCUUAACCCACUGAGCAAGGCCAGGGACCGAACCCACAUCCUCAUGAUUUUUACUUGGAUUCAUUUCUGCUGCGCCACAACUGGAACUCCCUUACUGACUAUUUUUAACUAAAAUUGGAUCCUGAUUUAGGUAUAUUUUUACUCAAGUACCUGUGAGUCUUGACAAGUUCUCUGAAACCUCUGUAUCUUAGUGUCUUAAUCUAUAAAAAGGACACAGGAACUUCCGGUUCUAAAAUUCAGAGAUUCUGUUUUGAUCAGAAUCGUUUAACCUAUCUUCUUCGGGAAAAAAAUCUAAUGAUCCAAUGAAUGAUAUAUUUACUGGUGGAACAUGACACAUAUUUCUCUGAGAUUGGGUCAGUGGUCAUUUUUAACAGCCUUAUUUAACUCUGAAGCCGGUUUAUUAUUUUAGUAGUGAGAUCUUCUCCUGUCUUGGAAGGUUGUAUUAGUUUUUAGGGGUACCAUGACAACACACCCCAGAUUGGCUGGCUUCAACAACAGGGAUUUAUUUUCUCAAAGUUCUAGAGGCUGGGAAGAUCGAGGUGCUGGCAGAUACAGUGUCUAGCAAACUCCUUUCCUGAUUCAUAGACAGAUGUCUUGGUUAAACAACUAAGAGGAAGAUUUCUGCAUCUGAUGGUAAAUGUAUGCUUAACUUUAUAAGAAACUAUUUCCUAAAGUGCUUACACUAUUUCACAUUUCUGGCUUCUGUCCUCAGAAUCCCAGUUACCCCAUAUUCUUGUCUCCAUGUAGUAUAUAGUCAGUCUUUUCAAUUUUAGGCACUUUGAUGUGUGUGGUGAUAUUUUAUUGUAUUUUCAUAUGUAUUUCCCCAGUGAUUAAUUUAUUAAAUUAUCUAAACUUACAGAAUUUGUCUCAGUGUUUAAAAGAAAACAACCAUCAGAGUGUCUGUGAGGAGCCUGGAACCCAUCUGUCUCCUGCUUCAAGACCCUCUCAAAAAAAACAAAAGCAAAAACAAAAAAUCAGUGUGAUUUAACUGGGUUAUUUUCUUUAAACACUGAGACCCUGAGACAAAUUCUGUAAGUUUAGAUAACUUCCAUAUGCCAAGGUGCACCUCCCCCACCGCCAAAAAAAGGUCAAGACCUCCCAAACUACACACAUGCAAAAGUUCUUUACGUUCCUUUGGCAUCAGAGAAGGGAGAGGCAUCAGACCAAGGUACAUCCUGUAAAUGUCCCAGAAACCUUUGCGCUAGAACCCAUACUGGCUAAAAGAUACGUGGGGGACAGGGGAGGGCCCUGAGUCAGGCCAAAUAUGGGUUGAAGGCCAGAUGAAGCAAGGUGAUUGGUCAGAGGCAUCAUACAAGUGAUUUAAACCACCUCCAAAGCCUCUGUCGCUCUCUUUCUCUCUUUACAUCUUUCUCUCUGUCGUCUUUCUCUCCUCCCUCCCCCAGCCCAUCCGUGUUUUCUCUGUACAUAUCUUUCCCCUUAAUAAACUCUUUAUUUGCCUUACUACUCUCAAUUUUUUUACUGAUUUUUUUUCUCGAAAGGGGAAAUACUGGAGACCUUCAUCAAGCUUGCUGGCCCUUGAGGGCUAGUGGUUAGGGUUCCGUGCUCUUAGCCCACAGCCACCUGAGAACAGGUCUCAGUAUAGAAAUGUAAGCUGGGCUAGUGUAGCAUGCCUACCAUCCGGAGAUGUUUUCUUAAGAAUCUUGAUUUCAUUAUUUUUUUCUACUGUCUGUCACUGAGUCAGAAAAUAGAACUCAGUACCUUUGUACCUCUAUACAUAAAUAUAUUUUCAUGCCAUCAUCUCUCCCAGAUAAUGCACUUAUCUGUCUACAGUAAAAGUUUCUCAUUAUUUUCCUCUAAUCAUUUAAUUUCUCCUUUUGAAAACUUCAUUAAUUAAUAGUUAAUUAUAAGUGAUUUAUGCAUCUGAGAAAAAAGAAGUAGUUAAUUGGAAGUGUUGGCAUAUUGCACAAGAAGUUUGCUAUAAUUUAGUUGUUAUGAAAAGACUGAAAUUAUUAGACGACACAUUUUAAAAAUGCAAAUGAAUUGUGUGAUGAAGUGUGAGGUUGGAAAAAUGGGUUUCAGAGAAAAUUGAUGUGCAUUAUUUUAGUAAAUUAUAAUUUUAUUUGCAAAGUAUUUUCAUAUAUACAUUAAGCAGCU
Molecule: long non-coding RNA, 4768 nt
Filed under: Sus scrofa (pig)
Lineage: Eukaryota; Metazoa; Chordata; Mammalia; Artiodactyla; Suidae
Description: lncRNA (ENSSSCG00035013448.1, ENSSSCG00065065818.1)
Source: RNAcentral